GGGGAGAUACCAAAGCGGCCAACUGGGGCAGACUGUAAAUCUGUUGUCGUAAGACUUCGCAGGUUCGAAUCCUGCUCUCCCCA
This 83-nucleotide transfer RNA is filed under the name Gracilimonas halophila. RNAcentral describes it as "tRNA-Tyr". It matches the Rfam family "tRNA". From Rfam's summary of the family: Transfer RNA (tRNA) molecules are approximately 80 nucleotides in length. Their secondary structure includes four short double-helical elements and three loops (D, anti-codon, and T loops). The record is from RNAcentral. Lineage: Bacteria; Pseudomonadati; Balneolota; Balneolia; Balneolales; Balneolaceae. RNAcentral also lists the same sequence under 4 other names.